GUGAGGAAUAUUGGUCAAUGGGCGGGAGCCUGAACCAGCCAAGUCGCGUGAAGGAAGAAGGAUCUAUGGUUCGUAAACUUCUUUUGCAGGGGAAUAAAGUGCAGGACGUGUCCUGUUUUGUAUGUACCCUGAGAAUAAGGAUCGGCUAACUCCGUGCCAGCAGCCGCGGUAAUACGGAGGAUCCGAGCGUUAUCCGGAUUUAUUGGGUUUAAAGGGGGCGUAGGUGGUUUGAUAAGUCAGCGGUGAAAGUUUGCAGCUUAACUGUAAAAAUGCCGUUGAAACUGUCGGACUUGAGUGUAAAUGAGGUAGGCGGAAUGCGUGGUGUAGCGGUGAAAUGCAUAGAUAUCACGCAGAACUCCGAUUGCGAAGGCAGCUUACUAAGCUACAACUGACACUGAAGCACGAAAGCGUGGGGAUCAAACAGGAUUAGAAACCCGAGUAGUCC
Molecule: ribosomal RNA, 445 nt
Filed under: uncultured bacterium
Lineage: Bacteria
Description: partial 16S ribosomal RNA
Rfam family: Bacterial small subunit ribosomal RNA
Source: RNAcentral